This is a non-coding RNA of Pelobates cultripes (western spadefoot toad), 222 nucleotides long. The record is from the annotation of a GenBank genome assembly. Lineage: Eukaryota; Metazoa; Chordata; Amphibia; Anura; Pelobatidae.
CUUGUAAUUUUCAUAAUGCUUAAUGAGUCAGUAGAAGCCCUGUCAUUGCAGAACUGAUGGGUACAUUAUUUGUCUUUUUUUUUGUUUACUUGAUCUUUAAUCUCAAACAUUGUUACAUGAUUGCAUGUGUUUCUUGAACAUAUAAACAAAACCAAAAAAAGGUAACUCACCGCCAUUCAAAAUAAUAAUACUGUAAUUUACUUUAAGAUGGUUUCGAAAAAG